RNAcentral lists this ribosomal RNA (511 nucleotides) under uncultured bacterium. Its description in RNAcentral is "bacterial SSU rRNA". It matches the Rfam family "Bacterial small subunit ribosomal RNA", at positions 29 to 518 of the family's 1533-position model. The record is from RNAcentral.
AACGAACGCUGGCGGCGUGCUUAACACAUGCAAGUCGAACGCGAAAGGGACUUCGGUCCUGAGUAAAGUGGCGCACGGGUGAGUAACGCGUAGAUAACCUGUCUUCAUGUCUGGAAUAAUACGCCGAAAGGGGUACUAAUACCGGAUAUUCUUGCUUUUCAUAAGUUAUGCAAGCAAAGGUGGCUUCUGCAUAUGCUACUGCAUGAAGAGGGGUCUGCGUACCAUUAGCUAGUAGGUGGGGUAAUGGCCUACCUAGGCGACGAUGGUUAGCGGGUCUGAGAGGAUGAUCCGCCACACUGGCACUGGAACACGGGCCAGACUCCUACGGGAGGCAGCAGUGAGGAAUAUUGCGCAAUGGGGGAAACCCUGACGCAGCGACGCCGCGUGAGUGAGGAAAGGCCUUCGGGUCGUAAAGCUCUGUCAAGAGGAAAGAAGUGUACAAUGGCUAAUACCUGUUGUAUUUGACGGUACCUCUAAAGGAAGCACCGGCUAACUCCGUGCCAGCAGCAGC